Molecule: long non-coding RNA, 421 nt
Organism: Eucalyptus grandis
Lineage: Eukaryota; Viridiplantae; Streptophyta; Magnoliopsida; Myrtales; Myrtaceae
Exons: 3
Source: RefSeq, a predicted model, not a curated record
GCUCUCAGAAUGGUGCGGACGGCAGCGUCGUCAAGAGAACCACGCUGCAUGAUUUGUACGAGCGGGAAGGCCAGAGCCCUUGGUACGACAACCUCUGCAGACCCGUGACGGACCUGAUCCCUCUGAUCGAGAGCGGCGAUAGAGGGGUGACGAGCAACCCUGCGAUUUUCCAGAAAGCAAUAUCAUCUUCAAAUGCUUAUAAUGAUCAGUUCAGAGAGGUUGUGCAAUCAGGGAAAGACAUUGAGAGUGCAUAUUGGGAGCUCGUGGUGAAGGAUAUUCAAGAUGCGUGCAAGCUUUUUGAGACAAUAUACGAUCAAACUGAUGGUGGCGAUGGCUAUGUCUCUGUUGAAGUUUCUCCUAGACUGGCAGAUGAUACAGAAGGGACUGUUGAGGCAGCAAAAUGGCUUCAUAAAGUGGUUAA